AGCAGCCGCGGUAAUUCCAGCUCCAAUAGCGUAUAUUAAAGUUGUUGCAGUUAAAAAGCUCGUAGUUGAAUUUCGAGAUCAAAUUGUUGGUCGUGCCUCGGUACGUACUGGCAUUAUUGAUUUCUCCCUUCUGAAGAACCUUGAUGUCAUUAAUUUGGUGUCUUGGGGAAUCAGGAACGUUACUUUGAAAGAAUUAGAGUGUUUAAAGCAGGCUCACGCUUGAAUACAUUAGCAUGGAAUAAUGAAAUAGGACGUUUGAUUCUAUUUUGUUGGUUUCUAGGAUCGACGUAAUGAUUAAUAGGGAUAGUUGGGGGCAUUAGUAUUCAAUUGUCAGAGGUGAAAUUCUUGGAUUUAUUGAAGACUAACUACUGCGAAAGCAUUUGCCAAGGAUGUUUUCAUUAAUCAAGAACGAAAGUUAGGGGAUCGAAGACGAUCAGAUACCGUCGUAGU
This 450-nucleotide ribosomal RNA is filed under the name uncultured Glomus. Its description in RNAcentral is "SSU rRNA". It matches the Rfam family "Eukaryotic small subunit ribosomal RNA", at positions 569 to 1024 of the family's 1831-position model. Lineage: Eukaryota; Fungi; Glomeromycota; Glomeromycetes; Glomerales; Glomeraceae. The record is from RNAcentral.